This 253-nucleotide ribosomal RNA is filed under the name uncultured bacterium. RNAcentral describes it as "partial 16S ribosomal RNA". It matches the Rfam family "Bacterial small subunit ribosomal RNA", at positions 524 to 776 of the family's 1533-position model. The record is from RNAcentral.
GACAGAGGGUGCAAACGUUGUUCGGAAUUACUGGGCGUAAAGCGAGUGUAGGCGGUUCGAUAAGUCGGAUGUGAAAGCCCCGGGCUCAACCCGGGAAGUGCAUUCGAUACUGUCGAGCUAGAGUAUCGGAGAGGUUGGUGGAAUUCUCGGUGUAGAGGUGAAAUUCGUAGAUAUCGAGAGGAACACCGGUGGCGAAGGCGGCCAACUGGACGAAUACUGACGCUGAGACUCGAAAGCGUGGGGAGCAAACAGG